This 154-nucleotide signal recognition particle RNA is filed under the name Chloroflexota bacterium. RNAcentral's name for it is "Chloroflexi bacterium partial signal recognition particle sRNA large type". It matches the Rfam family "Bacterial large signal recognition particle RNA", at positions 1 to 152 of the family's 256-position model. From Rfam's summary of the family: The signal recognition particle (SRP) is a universally conserved ribonucleoprotein involved in the co-translational targeting of proteins to membranes. The record is from RNAcentral. Lineage: Bacteria; Bacillati; Chloroflexota.
UCGUGCUAGGCGGGGAGCCAGCGGUGCCCUGUACCCGCAAUCCGCUCUAGCGGGGCUGAAUCCCCUCCCGAGGUCCGGCAUCGCGGAUCCUGCGUGCGCGCGGCGGCGUUGACGAUCGGGUCCUGUGCAGAAACGGCCCGUGAACCCCGUCAGA